Molecule: ribosomal RNA, 1345 nt
Filed under: uncultured bacterium
Lineage: Bacteria
Description: partial 16S ribosomal RNA
Rfam family: Bacterial small subunit ribosomal RNA
Source: RNAcentral
GACGAACUUUGGCGGCGUGCUUAACACAUGCAAGUCGAACGGAAAGGCCCUGCUUUUGUGGGGUGCUCGAGUGGCGAACGGGUGAGUAACACGUGAGUAACCUGCCCUUGACUUUGGGAUAACUUCAGGAAACUGGGGCUAAUACCGGAUAGGAGCUCCUGCUGCAUGGUGGGGGUUGGAAAGUUUCGGCGGUUGGGGAUGGACUCGCGGCUUAUCAGCUUGUUGGUGGGGUAGUGGCUUACCAAGGCUUUGACGGGUAGCCGGCCUGAGAGGGUGACCGGCCACAUUGGGACUGAGAUACGGCCCAGACUCCUACGGGAGGCAGCAGUGGGGAAUAUUGCACAAUGGGCGGAAGCCUGAUGCAGCAACGCCGCGUGCGGGAUGACGGCCUUCGGGUUGUAAACCGCUUUCGCCUGUGACGAAGCGUGAGUGACGGUAAUGGGUAAAGAAGCACCGGCUAACUACGUGCCAGCAGCCGCGGUGAUACGUAGGGUGCGAGCGUUGUCCGGAUUUAUUGGGCGUAAAGGGCUCGUAGGUGGUUGAUCGCGUCGGAAGUGUAAUCUUGGGGCUUAACCCUGAGCGUGCUUUCGAUACGGGUUGACUUGAGGACUUAGGGGAGAAUGGAAUUCCUGGUGGAGCGGUGGAAUGCGCAGAUAUCAGGAGGAACACCAGUGGCGAAGGCGGUUCUCUGGGCCUUUCCUGACGCUGAGGAGCGAAAGCGUGGGGAGCGAACAGGCUUAGAUACCCUGGUAGUCCACGCUGUAAACGGUGGGUACUAGGUGUGGGGUCCAUUCCACGGGUUCCGUGCCGUAGCUAACGCUUUAAGUACCCCGCCUGGGGAGUACGGCCGCAAGGCUAAAACUCAAAGGAAUUGACGGGGCCCCGCACAAGCGGCGGAGCAUGCGGAUUAAUUCGAUGCAACGCGUAGAACCUUACCUGGGUUUGACAUGGAUCGGGAGUGCUCAGAGAUGGGUGUGCCUCUUUUGGGGUCGGUUCACAGGUGGUGCAUGGCUGUCGUCAGCUCGUGUCGUGAGAUGUUGGGUUAAGUCCCGCAACGAGCGCAACCCUUGUUCACUGUUGCCAGCACGUUACGGUGGGGACUCAGUGGAGACCGCCGGGGUCAACUCGGAGGAAGGUGGGGAUGACGUCAAGUCAUCAUGCCCCUUAUGUCCAGGGCUUCACGCAUGCUACAAUGGCUGGUACAGAGAGUGGCGAGCCUGUGAGGGUGAGCGAAUCUCGGAAAGCCGGUCUCAGUUCGGAUUGGGGUCUGCAACUCGACCUCAUGAAGUCGGAGUCGCUAGUAAUCGCAGAUCAGCAACGCUGCGGUGAAUACGUUCCCGGGGCU